AAGAACUUCGGAGCUCAGAACAGGUGAUACUCACUCCUCCUUUGGGGAGAGGCCGUGGGCAUGGCUUCACUUUUCAGCUGGAUUAUAAAGGAUGUGAAGUUAGCCUGACUGAGCAGAAGGGGAGGGAAGACAGCACUCCAGGAAAGUGGAACGAACAACAGAGUCCAAAGGCCCCAUGGAUAAGAUGGUGAAGAAAAAAACCCUAGUCCAGGCACUCAGGGAGCCCUCAGGAACUUACAGUGUAUAGGAGAAGACAAGUAUAUAAUUACCCAAGUAAGUAUAUGGUUACAAACUGAGAAGUGUUGAAGAGAGAGAAAGAGAAGGAGCUUAUCAGAGACAGUGAGAGGGACACUGAGUCACAGACGGGGACAUUCAAAAGCACAGAGGAAGGAGAUGCCCAGAGAGACCUGAGGUAGGGAAGGGGUAAGCCUCCCACAGGUGGUCAGGCAGGGAGAACAGGAGGGAUGGCAAGAGAGAGGCAGACAGCCCUCCAGCCUACCCACUCCCAAGUACCUGGAAGAAGCUCUCCACGUGUUCCCUUGGGGCCUCCUCCCGGAGUGCAGGGUCAUACAGGUUGAAGGCCCAAUUAAGCCUGUCAUCUACAGUUCCCCGAAGAAUCACGGACAAACCAGCCACAAAGUCCUGGGAAGGAGGCAGGAGGGAGCUGUGUCCUCGGGUACUCUUCACCCAACUCCUUCUCUGGGUUUGGCCUGGAGAUCCUGGCCCUGAACUCCAGGAAACAGGCUUCCCUGGCCCACCUCGCCCAGCUCACCUCAAAACUGACCGAGCCAUCAUGGUUGGUGUCAAAGGCAUUGAAGAGAAAAGUGGCAUAGGUGCUGGAGUCUGCAGGGUGAGUGUGGAGAAGUUGGCUUCCACACAGGAGAGGACUUCCUCCCUCUAAGGAGCUCCCCAUACCCCCCAUCACCUUGGCAUUCCCAGCUCCUCCAGAAUCCCUCCCUCCCUCAGCCUAGAGAAGGACAACUGCUUCCCCUUGGGCCUUGUCCCCUCACCUCCUUGAGGAAAGAACUGGGAGUAAAUCUGCUUGAAGUUCUCCUCAUUGACAAUUCCGCUGGGACAUUCCUGGAAGGAGAGGGCACCAGGCUGAGGGCAGAGACAAAAUCCCCUUCCGUUCACCGCCCCCACCCUCCAUGGCCCAAGACUCCC
This 1164-nucleotide long non-coding RNA is filed under the name Homo sapiens (human). RNAcentral describes it as "long non-coding RNA NONHSAT156003.1". The record is from RNAcentral. Lineage: Eukaryota; Metazoa; Chordata; Mammalia; Primates; Hominidae.